This 61-nucleotide transfer RNA is filed under the name Urocitellus parryii (Arctic ground squirrel). Its description in RNAcentral is "Spermophilus parryii (Arctic ground squirrel) tRNA". It matches the Rfam family "tRNA", at positions 6 to 65 of the family's 71-position model. From Rfam's summary of the family: Transfer RNA (tRNA) molecules are approximately 80 nucleotides in length. The record is from Rfam by way of RNAcentral. RNAcentral also lists the same sequence under 2 other names. Lineage: Eukaryota; Metazoa; Chordata; Mammalia; Rodentia; Sciuridae.
UGUGGCUCAGAGGUAGAGUGCUUGCCUAGUAUGCACGAGGUUCUGGGUUCAAUUCUCAGCA